Molecule: ribosomal RNA, 423 nt
Filed under: uncultured bacterium
Lineage: Bacteria
Description: bacterial SSU rRNA
Rfam family: Bacterial small subunit ribosomal RNA
Source: RNAcentral
AUCUUCCGCAAUGGACGAAAGUCUGACGGAGCAACGCCGCGUGAGUGAUGGAGGCUUUCGGGUCGUAAAACUCUGUUGUUAGGGAAGAACAAGUGCUAGUUGAAUAAGCUGGCACCUUGACGGUACCUAACCAGAAAGCCACGGCUAACUACGUCCCACCACCCGCGGUAAUACGUAGGUGGCAAGCGUUAUCCGGAAUUAUUGGGCGUAAAGCGCGCGCAGGUGGUUUCUUAAGUCUGAUGUGAAGGCCCACGGCUCAACCGUGGAGGGUCAUUUGAAACUGGGAAACUUGAGUGCAGAAGAGGAAAGUGGAAUUCCAUGUGUAGCGGUGAAAUGCGUAGAGAUAUGGAGGAACACCAGUGGCGAAGGCGACUUUCUGGUCUGUAAUUGACACUGAGGCGCGAAAGCGUGGGGAGCAAACAG